GGGUUGUGAGGUUAAGCGACUAAGCGUACACGGUGGAUGCCCUGGCAGUCAGAGGCGAUGAAGGACGUGCUAAUCUGCGAUAAGCGCCGGUAAGGUGAUAUGAACCGUUAUAACCGGCGAUUUCCGAAUGGGGAAACCCAGUGUGACUCGUCACACUAUCAUUAACUGAAUCCAUAGGUUAAUGAGGCGAACCGGGGGAACUGAAACAUCUAAGUACCCCGAGGAAAAGAAAUCAACCGAGAUUCCCCCAGUAGCGGCGAGCGAACGGGGAGGAGCCCAGAGCCUGAAUCAGCAUGUGUGUUAGUGGAAGCGUCUGGAAAGGCGCGCGAUACAGGGUGACAGCCCCGUACACAAAAGCGCAUAUGCUGUGAGCUCGAUGAGUAGGGCGGGACACGUGGUAUCCUGUCUGAAUAUGGGGGGACCAUCCUCCAAGGCUAAAUACUCCUGACUGACCGAUAGUGAACCAGUACCGUGAGGGAAAGGCGAAAAGAACCCCGGCGAGGGGAGUGAAAAAGAACCUGAAACCGUGUACGUACAAGCAGUGGGAGCCCCACCACUAAGCCAGUGGUGAACUCCACAUACGCAUCCUUUGCUGAGGAUACGGUUAACGGAGCGAAAGCGACGUUCAACCGCAAAAGAAGCAGAGGGGGCUUAGUGGUGGGGUGACUGCGUACCUUUUGUAUAAUGGGUCAGCGACUUAUAUUCUGUAGCAAGGUUAACCGAAUAGGGGAGCCGGAGGGAAACCGAGUCUUAAU
This 755-nucleotide ribosomal RNA is filed under the name Salmonella enterica. RNAcentral's name for it is "partial 23S ribosomal RNA". It matches the Rfam family "Bacterial large subunit ribosomal RNA", at positions 1 to 688 of the family's 2925-position model. Lineage: Bacteria; Pseudomonadati; Pseudomonadota; Gammaproteobacteria; Enterobacterales; Enterobacteriaceae. The record is from RNAcentral.